AGCGACUGUGCAGGUUACCGCGGCUGCUGGCACGGAGUUAGCCGGUGCUUCUUCUGUGAGUGAUGUCCUUCCUGCCGGCUAUUAACCCGCAGGCCUUCUUCCUCACUGAAAGUGCUUUACAACCCGAAGGCCUUCUUCACACACGCGGCAUGGCUGGAUCAGGGUUGCCCCCAUUGUCCAAUAUUCCCCACUGCUGCCUCCCGUAGGAGUCUGGGCCGUGUCUCAUCCCAGUGUGGCUGAUCAUCCUCUCAGACCAGCUACGGAUCGUCGCCUUGGUGAGCCGUUACCU
RNAcentral lists this ribosomal RNA (289 nucleotides) under uncultured bacterium. RNAcentral describes it as "partial 16S ribosomal RNA". The record is from RNAcentral.